This 214-nucleotide non-coding RNA is filed under the name Enterococcus columbae. RNAcentral describes it as "T-box sequence". It matches the Rfam family "T-box leader". Rfam says of the family: Uncharged tRNA acts as the effector for transcription antitermination of genes in the T-box leader family. The record is from RNAcentral. Lineage: Bacteria; Bacillati; Bacillota; Bacilli; Lactobacillales; Enterococcaceae.
AAAGAGACGUUGAGCAAGAGGAGUAAUGACGUUUAUUGAUUUUUAGAGAGAAAACCCUAGGCUGUAAGGUUUUUAAUCAAGCGUUAUGAAGGUAGCUUGUGAGUCUUAAUCUUGAAAGCUUUAGUAAGGAUUAACGAGUCGUGAUCGUUAUCUCACGCUUAAGAGGUAGCAAUGGCUGCAAUUUAGGUGGUACCGCGUAAUUUACGUCCUAAAG